Choloepus didactylus (southern two-toed sloth) is the source of this 460-nucleotide long non-coding RNA. RefSeq lists it as uncharacterized. The record is from RefSeq and is a predicted model, not a curated record. The transcript has 3 exons. NCBI's taxonomy places the organism in Eukaryota, Metazoa, Chordata, Mammalia, Pilosa, Megalonychidae.
GCUCUCUGAGGAGCCGCCAAGGGGCUAUUUUAAGACCUUGAUUAAGCCUCAUGGACUCUUCAUUGAAGCCCCCACCACACGGCAUCAAACACAGGGACACGCACCCUCCACCCAGUGAACACAGUGACCUGUCACUAUAUGCGAGGGCAAACAACCAGUGGAAAUAGGGUAACGGCUACCUCCCCCAGCUGUAGAGGUGGCUCCCAGAGCCUCGGCUGACAUCAGGCCGACAACCAAAUGCCUCAGCUCCAGGCUGGCAAGAAGAUGCCCUGGUUCCCAACUGGCCAGAUGAUGCUGCAUCUCUGUGCUGUCUGCCAAGGCUCCAGUCUGGUCAAGGAACAGCAAGGAUUGCAAGCAAACAUUAGAAUACAAGGGAGACAAGGAAGGAUUCUCUCCUAGAGCUUCUGGAGGAAGCAAGCUGAGCACUCUGACACCUUUAUUUCAGACUUGAGCCUCCGGA